UUGUUAUUGUUGUAGUUGUUUAUUCUUUGUUACAGAUGUUGUUGACGUUGUAGUAAUUGGCACUGACUGAUUGUUGGAUUUGUUUGAAAAUAUUGGUAUUACCGAUGAAACUUGAUGUUGAUGCUGGCGUGGUUGCGUAUUUCUUCUAACAUGAGGCCUCCUCCGCCUCCCUACAGAUACUGCAUUGGUUUCUCCUUCCUUCUUCCUGAAAAAACCACUUCCA
This 223-nucleotide long non-coding RNA is filed under the name Lathyrus oleraceus (garden pea). RNAcentral's name for it is "Pisum sativum (pea) long non-coding RNA (PSAT_LNC013451)". The record is from RNAcentral. Lineage: Eukaryota; Viridiplantae; Streptophyta; Magnoliopsida; Fabales; Fabaceae.